CCGGCCCACAAAAGAUCCAGAACGCUUUAUCAGUGACCAGUCUCCCCAUUGAGGCCAUAAAAACCUUCCUCUCUCAGACACUUUGCCUCAAAUGACAAGCCUCUUGUAGUGAUCUAGAAUCUUCUUUUAUUCAGCGCACUGACUCUAUCUGUCUACUUUUUCUUUCCUGUUGACUGUUCCCAAAGCAGACCAGAAGAGAGGCAGUAUUCUGGGAAGGCACAGGUAGACAGACCCUUCGCUUACCCUCACGGCUGUUACACAACUAUUCCCAAGUUGUCCUUCUCUGACUAUGAAGACAUGGAAGAAAACUACAAAGGAUCCUUCUCGCAAGUCCCCAGACAAUAGCCAGGAUUCUCCAGGUCAACACCCUCUUCCAGGCUUCAAGCAAGUCAUUGGCUUCAGCAUCUGUGAAACCCAAGGAAUGUUAUGUAAUUGUCUCAUUCUCGUGCAUAUGUAUGUUCUUCUAAGGAGAAGGCUCCCAGUGUUCAUCAGAUUCCAAAGUAAUCUAUGAGCUGAAAAGGGUAGAAGCCCUGCUCCAGACUGCCUCCGCUGAGAGCCAGGCAUUGCUCUGCAGGGAUGAAGCUCCACUUGGAUCCUGCCCAUGGCCAGCUGAAGCCCCUUCUGCCUCUUGGAAGUCCUGGAGCCACUUAUUUUAAGAACAUGGCCUGUAGUGUGGAUCUUCAACUGCUGAUUGCAAUGGAUUCAACGUCCCUUGACCGGGCAGUGUGCCAGGGAAGCUGCAUUUCCUCCGCAAAGGCUGGCAGAAAAACUUAGGCCCCAACUUAACAGAAAACACGAAGGAGCCAGAGUCAGCUUUCCUUUUACAGUCAGAGGCUCCCCACACUGGUGGUGAAUCCUCAGCACAGGCGAAAAACAGGAAGGGAUAAAAAUGAAGGAAGUCUCUUGGCCAGUGGUCUUGAAGUGUUCCUUCCACACGGGUCCACUUCAGCCUGCCUGUGGGCAUCCUCUCCUUUCUGCAGUGGUUACUUGCAGUGCAUCUCAGCCUUUCUACUGGAGUUCCAUUCUCCACUUAGGGCCAAGCAGCCUGUCUAACCCACGGUGCACACAGGAAUGCAAAAUAUCCCCUGCUGUGUGCUGAUGCCUCAUGCAGCAGGAAGCAGUCCCAAGGUGUCCUGAAAUUAACUUACCAAGUCGCAUGCAGCAUUUCCUUCCUUUUAUUUUCGUUUGGAAAGAGACUGGAAUGGAAUGGAAUAGACAGACUAGACUAGAACAUAUCUGAGUCAUUGUGUGGUAAUGACUUCUUGAAACUUUUGUUUCAGUGUGUGUGGUGGGGUAAGGGGGGAUCACAAUUUAAAAUGUUGCCUCUCAGUCAGAAAACAACUUGGAAGGAUGAAUCUCAGGCCAUCCACGGAGCUUGCACAUGAUGUCCAGGGCCUUCUGAAGGGCUGUGAAGUUGCAGGGUAAACAACAACAAAAGCAGCGGGACAGAGGGCCUUGAUUCAGGUCCAGGAGGUGCUGGGUCCUCAGUCAAGUCCCACCGUCCCUUUGAGCCUUUCUUCUCAUCUGUAAAAUGAGGAUAAUCAGUCUCACUUCGCCUGCCUUGAAGGGUUGUUGUGCGGCUCAAACGGAACAGUGUUUGCUAAAUGUGGUGCACAUCAUAGGACAAGGCUUAUGUAAGGCAUUUUGGAAUUUUUAUUUAUAGUGGGAAGUUCAAACCAGGAAAAGAAGAGAUGGAUAAUAGCGUUGUUCAGGGUAGGUUGCACAGGGUGCUAUGGUUUGAAUGUGUCCCCCAGAAAUCAUGAGUUGGAAACUUAACCCACAAUGCAAUGGUGGUGGGAGGUCGGGCCUAAUGGGAGGAGUUGCAUCACGACAGCUCCACCCUCAUGAAUGGAUCCAUGCCAUUAUAAAAAAGCCAGACCCUGCGAGUUCACCCUCUUGCUCUCUCUCACCUUCUCUUUGCCAUUUUGCCGUGGAAUGAAGCAGCAAGAAGGCCCUCGUCAGAUGCCAGCCCCUCAGUCUUGGACUUCUCAGCCUCCAAAACUGUGAGAAGUAAAUUUCCUUUCUUUAUAAAUUACUUAGUCUGUGUAUUCUGUUAUAGCAACACAAAACAGAUUAAGACAGAGAGUGUCAAAGAUCCCUCAAGUCACCCCACGUGGCAGUCUCGGCAGUCUCCCAGUUCUCCUGCAUGUCCAGCCAGAUGAGACUAUCCAGGUAAUGCCUCAGGAAUCCUCCUACCGCAGUGAUUCUAAGCAACACAAGCAAAGGAAGUUUCAAGUUUGUUUUGUUUUUAAGUGUUCUUGACCCUAGGGCUGGUAUUUGAUAGCACCUGAAUGUCUAGGGCUGACCAGUUCUUUCUGGCUCACUCCACCCCUGCAGAGCCGUAGGAAACCCAUGCAACUUCCUCAUUGCCCAUGAGGCAAGGCAAGUGGUAGCGCACGCCUCUUAUGGAGUGAACACUACUGUUCUUUCUACUUCAUGGGAAGGUCUUGCAAAACAUUGGUUCUGUCUUCUUGCAUGAAUCAUAGACUAAAGAAUGAAGAAACACUUCUGAGUAACAAACAAGGAAGAAAGAAAAGGAAGCAAGCUGUGGUGAUGCGUUCUUGGAACAUAACUCCAAGUCAGUUCAUAGGAGCGAAAUCAACGUGUAGAUCUUUGUGUAAGGUUUUGCUGCUAAAGGACAAAAAAAAAAAAACUUUCCUUUUCCUUUUUUUUCUGAGUAAAAAGAUAACAGACACUCAUAAAAAUCAAAUAACGAAAUUAGAUCCCAAGAAGAGGACAAUGUAAGCAAUUUAAAGCACAUUUUCCCAAACUUGUGUCUUUUACUAAACUAAAAGAUUGAUACACAUACAUGGGCACAGUAUAGAUGUCAUUUUCCACUCCAUGUUUUCUUACCCAUCCACAUGACGGAGAGCUUUAUCCAUGAUGGUGGAUGAAAAUCUAGAACACUGCUAUUAGUAGUAGCAUUCUGUCAUAAAAAUGAAGCAGGACUUAUUAGUCAAUCUCACUGAAGGAUGUUUAAGUUGCUUCUGAAUUUUUGUUUCUAUAAAAAAAAAUGCCAGGAUAAACAUUCUUAUAUAUUCAUUAUUGUGCAUUUGUUCAGUUAUCUCCCAGGAAUAAGUUUCUGAGAGAAGAAUGACUGGGUCAAAAACUAUCAGAAUGUUCAACGUUAAUGUAUAUUGCCAAAUUGCCCUGCAGAAAUGGGGCAUCAGGUCCUACCAUCCCAGAAUUGCACAAGAGAACCCAUCUCUCCACAUCUAACCAACAGUGGUUACUGUCAAUCUUUUCACCUGUUUUCCAAUCUGAUAAGUAACAAAUAAUAUGUAUUUGUUGUUUUAAUUGCAUUUCUUUGAUUUCAGUGAGAUGUUAAAUUACUAAUUGUUAUCAAUGCAAAUAUACUACUAGCAGUGACAAUUGCUAAUCUGCACUGAAAAAUUUCUCUGCACCAGGCACUUUACUAAGCCCUUUACAGAAUUAUUUUCUUUUAUCCUCACAAUAACCCCUCAAGGCAGGGAAAAUAAGUAUCCCUAUUUUACAGAUAAAAACAAAGGCUUAGAGAGGUUACUUUGCUGAAGGUCAUGGAGCUAGUAAAUAGUGAAUCCAGAACUCAGUCCAGGUAGAUCUACCCCCAAAGCCCACACUGGGUAGCAAGCAUUAUCCUUCCAUUUAUUUCCAUACACACACUCACUAAUUCUGUGUUUCCUCUACGUAUGUUUCCACAGGCGAGUUUUAUGUCUUUAUGACCUUUGCUCAUUUUUUUUCAAUUGGAGUGCUUAUGUUUUUCUUAUUAAUUAGCAAUAACUUUUGGCUAUUAAGAAUAUUAAUUGCCAUUUUUAAAUCUACUUUUUUCUCUAUGAAAUGUAAUUAUAUACAAUUUACAACUUUCA
This 3845-nucleotide long non-coding RNA is filed under the name Homo sapiens (human). RNAcentral describes it as "HSALNT0099501". Lineage: Eukaryota; Metazoa; Chordata; Mammalia; Primates; Hominidae. The record is from RNAcentral.